Molecule: transfer RNA, 84 nt
Filed under: compost metagenome
Description: tRNA-Cys
Source: RNAcentral
CCGAGCUGGCCGGGCAGGGGCUGGCGGUGCAGGCGCUGGGGGUGGAUCUGGCCGACCGCGCGGCGAUCUUCGCCCUGCUCGAGC